ACCGGCGCACGGGUGCGUAACGCGUAUACAAUCUGCCUUUUAUCCGGGGGAUAGCCCGAAGAAAUUUGGAUUAAUACCCCAUAAUAUUAUUAGAUGGCAUCAUUUGAUAAUUAAAACUGCGGUGGUGUAAGAUGGGCAUGCGUCCUAUCAGCUAGUUGGAGUGGUAACGGCACCCCAAGGCUACGAUAGGUAGGGGUCCUGAGAGGGAGAUCCCCCACACUGGUACUGAGACAGGGACCAGACUCCUACGGGAGGCAGCAGUGAGGAAUAUUGGUCAAUGGCCGGAAGACUGAACCAGCCAUGCCGCGUGCAGGAAGAAUGCCUUAUGGGUUGUAAACUGCUUUUAUAUGGGAAGAAUAAGGCGUACGUGUACGUUGAUGACGGUACCAUAUGAAUAAGCAUCGGCUAACUCCGUGCCAGCAGCCGCGGUAAUACGGAGGAUGCGAGCGUUAUUCGGAAUCAUUGGGUUUAAAGGGUCUGUAGGCGGGCUAUUAAGUCAGGGGUGAAAGGUUUCAGCUUAACUGAGAAAUUGCCUUUGAUACUGGUAGUCUUGAAUAUCUGUGAAGUUCUUGGAAUGUGUAGUGUAGCGGUGAAAUGCUUAGAUAUUACACAGAACACCGAUUGCGAAGGCAGGGGACUAACAGACAAUUGACGCUGAGAGACGAAAGCGUGGGGAGCGAACAGGAUUAGAUACCCUGGUAGUCCACGCUGUAAACGAUGGAUACUAGCUGUUUGGUGAUAAGCUGAGUGGCUAAGCGAAAGU
This 763-nucleotide ribosomal RNA is filed under the name uncultured Bacteroidota bacterium. Its description in RNAcentral is "bacterial SSU rRNA". It matches the Rfam family "Bacterial small subunit ribosomal RNA", at positions 94 to 858 of the family's 1533-position model. The record is from RNAcentral. Lineage: Bacteria; Pseudomonadati; Bacteroidota.